GACAAGCCUAGAUCAGAGCCGACACGACACCGAUAUCGGAGGAAGCUCCCGAUAUCCCAAGCAAAGACUCACCGAGACUACUCCUGCACAACGUCUACUCACCCAUACAAGCAAGUAGGCGGUUAAAACCACUGGGGGUAAGCAUUACAUUAUCAUAAUCCAGAUAAUAAUCAAAUCAAAUAAUAUCAUGUACUUGAAUAAUAUUAGCCAUGCAUAAACACUUAUACCACAACUUGAUAGUUCGUAUCCACAUAUAUCAAUCACAUGAAUAAUUAUCCAAUCAUAAAUAUUCAUUCACAACAUCAAUCAUAGACAAUCAUUAUCAACAUUCAUUCAUCUCAAAUCAUCACCAAUCACCCAAUUCACAUAGGACUCAUGCUAUGAUAUGCACUUAUGGACACAUAAAUGCAUGCGGUACCAAAUCUCAACAAGGUCGUCACCUUUCGAUGCCACUUGCACAUCGAUUGUAAGGGCUCACACCUGCCUUACAAUAAUCUCGAAGUACAUGAUAUAUAAGACAUGUGUAAUCCCUUUUACAGCAACAACGACUAUGAUGCAUGGACAUGUGUAAUGACUCGAUAAUGCGACAACAAUUCUCAAUCUCAACUCAAUAUAUAGGACAACACCCAAUUAUAUUGAUUAUCUCCACAACAUUGCAUUACCAAGAAAACAUGCCCACACACAGUUAAAUCAUAGUAUUCAUCAUCACACAAACAACUUGAUUAUCAACAAUCAACAAUAUCUUUCACACAAUUCACUUAUCACAUGAAUAAUUCACCACACUAUCUCGGAACGAAACAACUAGAACAAGUCGAACACUAUUAACCAAUCUUAUCCAAUAAUGUUUACAUGAAGUUAAGUCGUCUUCGGACUAUCAUACAAGACCAAGCACAACUUAAGUUCAUAAAGGAAUCCCGUUUUCACAACCUUUCAUUACCCACUCAAAAAUAUCAUUUUACUUUGAUUAAGGUAUUGACCACCCUUGCAAGCAUCACCUAAGUCUAUAUGAGCUGUAGGUCUACUUGCAAGCCUCAUUGGAUUACAAAAUUUGUUUUUCGACAAAGUUUGGAACUCUCAAAAUCUCACAAGUUAAGACUCAUUUCAAAAAUCCCAAGUAUAUGCGAACACUCAUCGUUCCAGCAGGCUUUGGGGAAUUAACAGUGGUUUAACAUGUUUAAAACAUCAUUUUAAGAAAACUCGGAUUGGUCCCCAAAGACCGGAACGAA
RNAcentral lists this long non-coding RNA (1226 nucleotides) under Medicago truncatula (barrel medic). Its description in RNAcentral is "long non-coding RNA (MTRU_LNC001348)". Lineage: Eukaryota; Viridiplantae; Streptophyta; Magnoliopsida; Fabales; Fabaceae. The record is from RNAcentral.